AUACGUAGGGUGCAAGCGUUGUCCGGAAUUACUGGGCGUAAAGAGCUCGUAGGCGGUUUGUCGCGUCGUCUGUGAAAACCAGCAGCUCAACUGUUGGCUUGCAGGCGAUACGGGCAGACUUGAGUAUUUCAGGGGAGACUGGAAUUCCUGGUGUAGCGGUGAAAUGCGCAGAUAUCAGGAGGAACACCGGUGGCGAAGGCGGGUCUCUGGGAAAUAACUGACGCUGAGGAGCGAAAGCGUGGGUAGCGAACAGGAUUAGAUACCCUGGUAGUCCACGCCGUAAACGGUGGGCGCUAGGUGUGGGUUUCCUUCCACGGGAUCCGUGCCGUAGCUAACGCAUUAAGCGCCCCGCCUGGGGAGUACGGCCGCAAGGCUAAA
Molecule: ribosomal RNA, 378 nt
Filed under: uncultured bacterium
Lineage: Bacteria
Description: bacterial SSU rRNA
Rfam family: Bacterial small subunit ribosomal RNA
Source: RNAcentral